This 79-nucleotide transfer RNA is filed under the name Bacteroidales bacterium. RNAcentral describes it as "tRNA-OTHER". It matches the Rfam family "tRNA". From Rfam's summary of the family: Transfer RNA (tRNA) molecules are approximately 80 nucleotides in length. The record is from RNAcentral. Lineage: Bacteria; Pseudomonadati; Bacteroidota; Bacteroidia; Bacteroidales.
CGGUCUGUAGCUCAGCUGGUAGAGCAUCCCGACACUUGUGUCGGGAGGGUCCAGGGUUCGAGUCCCUGCAGACCGACCA